This 493-nucleotide ribosomal RNA is filed under the name uncultured bacterium. RNAcentral describes it as "partial 16S ribosomal RNA". It matches the Rfam family "Bacterial small subunit ribosomal RNA", at positions 29 to 523 of the family's 1533-position model. The record is from RNAcentral.
AUUGAACGCUGGCGGCAUGCUUUACACAUGCAAGUCGAACGGUAACAGGUUAAGCUGACGAGUGGCGAACGGGUGAGUAAUGCAUCGGAACGUGCCCGGUCGUGGGGGAUAACGCAGCGAAAGCUGCGCUAAUACCGCAUACGAUCUAAGGAUGAAAGCGGGGGACCGUAAGGCCUCGCGCGAUCGGAGCGGCCGAUGUCAGAUUAGGUAGUUGGUGGGGUAAAGGCUCACCAAGCCAACGAUCUGUAGCUGGUCUGAGAGGACGACCAGCCACACUGGGACGGAGACACGGCCGAGACUCCGACGGGAGGCAGCAGUGGGGAAUUUUGGACAAUGGGCGAAAGCCUGAUCCAGCAAUGCCGCGUGCAGGAAGAAGGCCUUCGGGUUGUAAACUGCUUUUGUACGGAGCGAAAAGGUCUCCUCUAAUACAGGGGGCUCAUGACGGUACCGUAAGAAUAAGCACCGGCUAACUACGUGCCAGCCGCCGCCGUAA